GUCAGAUUGGCCGAGCGGUCUAAGGCGCCAGGUUUAAGUUCUGGUUCUCUCUGAGAGCGUGGGUUCGAACCCCACAUCUGACA
RNAcentral lists this transfer RNA (83 nucleotides) under Drosophila busckii. Its description in RNAcentral is "tRNA-Leu". It matches the Rfam family "tRNA". From Rfam's summary of the family: Transfer RNA (tRNA) molecules are approximately 80 nucleotides in length. Lineage: Eukaryota; Metazoa; Arthropoda; Insecta; Diptera; Drosophilidae. The record is from Rfam by way of RNAcentral.